GAGUCUUGCCCUGUUGCCCAGGCUGGAGUACAGUGGCGCGAUCUCAGCUCACGGCAACCUCCGCCUUCCGUGUUCAAGGGAUUCCCCUGCCUCAGCCUCCUAGUAGCUGGAAUUAAAGGCACCUACCACCACGCCCGUCUAAUUUUUGUAUUUUUAGUAGAGAUGGGGUUUCACCAUGUUGCCCAGGCUGGUCUUGAACUCCUGACCUCAAGUGAUCUCCCUGCCUCAGUCUCUCAAAGUGCUGGAAUUACAGGCAUGAGCCACCACGCCCAGCCAACUCUCACCACUUCUAUUUGAUACAUGCUGGAGGUUCUAGCCAGGGCAACUAGGCAAAUAAAUGAAAUAAGAGACAUCCAUAUGGAAAUGAAGAAGUACAAUGAAGAAGUAAAGCUAUAUUUGCAGAUAUGAUUUUAUAUACAUAAAGUCCUAAGGAAAUCACAAAAAACUAAUAAGACUAGUAAAUGAGUUCAGCAAAGUUACAGGAAGAUCAAUAUGCAAAAAAAUUGUGUUCUUACACACUAGCAAUGAAUAAUCAAAAAAUGAAAGUAGGAAAACAAUUCCAUUUACAACAGAAUUUGAAGAAAAUACUUAAGGAAUAAAGUUAACAAAUGAAGAGGAAAGUUUGUACACUGAAAAUUAUAAAACAUCAUUGAAAGAAAUUAAAGACGACCUAAAUAAAAGGAAAGACAUCUGUGGUUCAUGGAUAAGAAAAGUUAAUAUUGUUAAGAUGCCAAUACCUCCCAAAUUGACCUAUGGAUUCAAUGCAGUCCUUAACAAUAUCCUAGCUGGCUCCCCCCUCCCAACCCCACUGCCUCUAGAAAUUGACCAGCUGAUCCUAAAUUCAUAUGGAGACACAAGGGACCCAAAAUAACCAAAACAACUUUAGAAAGGAAGAACAAAGUUGGAGGACUCGCAUUUCCCAAUUUCAAAAGUUACUGGAAAACUACAGUGUGGUACUGGCACAAGGGUAGACAUAGAGAUGAGUGGAAUAGAUUUAAAAGUCCAGAAGUAAGUCUUGACACUGUCGAUUCAUUUUCAAUAAGGGUGCUACGGCCAUUUAGUAGGGGAAAGAAUAGUCUUCUCAACAAAUUAUGGUAAGACAACUGGAUAUCUGUCUGCAAAGAAAGAAUGAAGUUGGAAUUCUACUUUAUACCAUACACAAAAAUUAACUCACAUCACUGACCUAAAUCCUAUAGGAGCUAACACUAUAAAACUCUUCAAAGACAACACAGGGGCAAAUCUUCAUGAGCUUGGAAUAGGCAAUGAUAUUUUGGAUACACCAAAAGCAUAAGCAAAACAAUAAAUAGGAGUAUAUCAAAAUUCAAACUUUUUACUGCAAAUGAUACCAUCAAGAAAGUGACAAGAUACCCACUGAAUGGGAGACAAUAUUUGCCCAUCAUACAUAUGACAAUGGACUUGUAUCUAGAAUACAAAAACUCUUAGAACUCAACAAUAAAAAAAAAAUGGAUAAUCCAAUUUCUGGAAGUCAGUCAGAUUUCUGGGAUGAUCACUCCCAUCCUCACAACAACAACAACAACAAAAAAAACUAAAGAAAUUAAUUUUUUCUGGAUCUGUCAGAUAAUAGAGGUCACAAGGCAAACCACCAGCCUUAAAUCUGGAGAGACAAGCAAACGGAGAUCAGCUUACUUGGAGCAGAAGGACCAAGGAAGAUACAAGACAACAGCUUCUGCGAACCAGUAAGAGUGGCCUCAUUAGACAUUGGAUUUGCCAGUGACUUGAUCAUGGACUUCCCAGUCUCCAGGACUGUGAGUUAUAAAGGUUUGUUGUUUAAGCCACCCAGCCUAUGGUAUUGUUUGUUAUAGCAGCACAAAUGGACUAAGGCACUCACGGAGUCUGCAGCUUCACAUGGCUUGAUGAUGGGGAAACAUGGGCUGGAUUCCAGAUUCCACUUGACCCUUCAGCAGAGAGCCUCUGCACAGUGAAAAAUGGAGUUCUUGUAGCUCUCAGGGUCUUUCACCAUAUUUGCUGUCCUUGGGCAAGAUCAGAGUCAUCUUUGGAAGGAAAAGCAUCUCUGGAUUUUGUUAAAUACCAUCUUAGGAAAGUACUCUCUGCUCUUCAAAGUCAGCGACGACAUGAGUCACUGUUACAGAACCCACAGAAUGUGUCCCUUAAAAUACUGAGAAUGAACACUAUUUUACUGCCUGCAUAAUUAGCACUAGACAGGUGAAUUUAUUACUACUUCAUUAAAUAGAUGAGUUUAUUAACUCAGUGAAGACUUGUGGGAACCUUACUAAAAGAGAUGCAAUUCCCCAGCCUCAAGAUGCUCACAGUCUAGUGAUGAGGAAGCUGGCAAUUCCACUAUACAUGGCUAAAUGCCAGAGUAGUGCACAGCAUCCUUUAGCGGCAUGAGGAAUGGGCUCAUAAGCCCACAGUGGAAUGCAGGGGUUCUACACAAACGUAGCUUAAUCUGAGCCCUGGAGGGUGACUGAGCUCUAUUAGCCAGAGAAUCCAAAUCACUAUAAAACUCCCAGAGAACAAAUGUCAUGAUGUGAAGACAAAUAACAGGCAGAAAGAGAUGGGCAGGAAGGCAGAAUUCAAACCAUGAUGACGUUCAAGUCACAAAAUUAUCUGCAAGUCAGCAGGAGAACACUGAAGGACUUCUGGAAAGGAGAGUAAAAAGAUUCCUUUCAUGUUAGAAACAGAUUACCCUCUCAAACGGGAGGAGGCUUGAGGGGGAGGAGGCUAGGGCCAGAGAGACUAUUAGGAGAGCCACACUAAGAAACUCUUUCUUCUUUAUUCAAAUGUCACCACCUCAGAGUCUCUCUCUAGCCAUCCUGUAGAUAAUUUCGGUCUCCUAACUGCACCCCAACACUUCCUAUCCCUCAUCUCUGCUUACUUCUUUUCUCUAAGCCCUUAUUCCUCUCUAACAUCCUUCUAGGUAUUUACUUACUUAUAUUCAUUACACUUGUCUAAUGUGGAGUUUCGUUACCUGCUCCAUCCCCAACACCUACUAAGUUGCUACAAGCAUUUGGAAGGAACCCAAAGAUUUGCAGAAUGACUACUUUAAUGACUCAGUGAAUAGUUGAUAGAUACACCAUGUGGAUCAGGGCCUCAUUAUUUAUCACCUGAACCAUUCAUUCAACAUAUGAUUGUUGAAGGGUCUACUCUGUGCCAGCCAAGGGUCCUAGAUGUGAAAUAUACAGCAGUGAACAAAGACCUUGAUCUCACAAAGAUGAUAUUAUAAUGGGCUACGAGGGCAUAGCAAACCCCCAAUAUAUAGCGAGAGACACUUUUAAGAACAAUAGGGCAGGGUAAAGAAAUAAAGAGAUGAAAGGAGGGGCUGUCACAGAAUAAGUUUUUGUCAUGAAAGAUUUCUCUUAUAUUUGAACAGAGACCUCAAAUAUAGGAAGAGAAAGCCAUGUAGAGAUCUGAUAUCUGAAGGCAUGUAAUUCAGCCCUGAAGAACAUAGAAAAUUUUUUUUUGUUAAAAAGCCAUAGGUCUGGUAUUUAGCAAAGACAUGGAAUCAACCUAAAUGCCCGUCGAUAGCAGUCUGGAUAAAGAAAAUGUGGUGCAUAUACACCAUGGAAUACUAGGCGGCCAUAAAAAAGAUGUCCUGGCUGGGCGCGGUGGCUCAUGCCUGUAAUCCCAGCACUUUGGGAGAGUGAGGCAGGCGGAUCACCUGAGGUUAGGAGUUCGAGAACAGCCUAACCAACAUGGAGAAACCCUGUCUCUACUUAAAAAAAAAAAUACAAAAUUAGCCAGGCAUGAUGGCGAAUGCCUGUAAUCCCAGCUACUCAGGAGGAUGAGGCAGGAGAAUUGCUUGAACCUGGGAGGUCAAGCUUGUGGUGAGCCAAGAUCGCACCAUUGCACUCCAGUCUGGGCAACAAGAGCGAAACUCUGUCUCAAAAAAAAAAAAAAAAAAAAGAUGUCCUUUGCAGGAAGAUGGAUGGAGCUGGAGGACAUUAUUCUUAGUAAACUAAUACAGGAACAGAAAACCAAAUACCGCAUGUUCUAACUCAUCAGUGGGAGCUAAAUGAUGAGAAUACAUGGACACACAGAGGGGAACAACAGACACUGGGGUCUCCAUCAGAGGGUGGAGGGUGGGAGGAGGGAGAGGACCAGAAAAAAUAACUCAUGGGUACUAGGCUUAAUACCUGGGUGACAAAAUAAUCUGUACAACAAACCCCCAUGACACAAGUUUACCUGUAUAACAAACCUGCACGUGUACUUCUGCAGUUACAGAAGAUCAAGGAUGGGACUAAGAACCUAUUUCUACCAAUAUCCCAGGUGAUGCUAAUGCUGCUGGUCCCUAAAUUACAAUUUGAUAGCAUCAGUUAAAACAGCUCUCUAGAUAUUUUCAGACAGACUAACACUUGAGGUUUUCACCUCCAAUUUUUCUACUAACCCCAAUAUACUAUCCUAUUGCCUAAGGGCAAAAAGAACUAAAGAAGGUAAAAACAAACUGCAAGCUUCUCUUUCUCUCUGAUACUAACAAACAGGAAUGAAGGUUUGUUAGGAUCAGGAGUGCCAAGAUCAACUCUAUGCUCCUAACAUUAACCACGAAAAAACCCAGGCCACUCAUAAAAUACUCCCUAUAAUGACAGCAACUGACAUUUAGAGCAACUGACUGGCUGCCUACCAAGGCACUGUUUACAUAAAUUCUUCACAUGUAGUAUCUCAUUUGAUUUUCAUAACGAUGAUAGAGAUUGAGAAAAUAAUUAUGCCCAUUUUACAGACAAGGAAAUAGAGGCACACAGAAGUAACUUGUUCAUGUUUAACAAGUGGUCAACAGAAAAGUCAGGAUUUUCACCCAGUGCCUUAUCUACUAGAACACUGGCUGCGCCAGGCAAUGAACCCAGGCAAUCUGACACCUGUGCCCAUGUUCUUAACCGCUCGACAGUGGUUCUCAAACCCUGGUAUGCAUCCAUAUCAAAAGGCCUGAGGUUCCAUGUGCUGCCUUGAUACCUUUGAGACUCACAGGGCCCUGAAGGCCUAGCCAUGAGCUCCCGGCUCUCUCCAGAUAUGCCCUCUCAGUGGGAAAGGAUCCCUGCCCGCCUAGUUCCUCGUGUGUUAACCAUGUUUUAUGUACUGGCUAUUUGAUAUCUGCUAUUCCUAAUCUCUCCCUAAGUCUGCUGAAUCACAGGGCCAGACUAACAACCAAAAUUAUGUGCAUCUUCCCUGCAAGCAGCUUUCACCGGUGGGAGAAAGACAUAUUACAAAAGCAUAGGCCCCAGUUCCUUUCUCUGUCUGCUUCCUGACCCUUGCCUGUAGUGGGCUUCAUGUGGUCUGGUGUGGUGUGAUGUACCAGUGGAACUCUAAGUAUUAAAAUACUAUUCAUUGGCAUUAAUCUCUCCAUGUUGUCACUCAGCCGCUUUUAUAAAAUUAAGACUUAGGCACAAUUCAUCCUAUUUAGCCAGACCACCUGUACCCCACCAGGUCCUCCACAUAACAGGUUUUGCCUCCCUGCCAGCCUGUAGAAUUAUCCAAAUGGUCAAUUAAAUCUUCUUGCAGGAACCAAGGGUCACCCUGCUACCCUCCUGUCACUACAAAAUCAACCUACCAUGGCCCCUGUUGGUUCAAUCUAUUCUCAAGUGCAAGUCCCCUGGGCUGUGAAUAUGUGACUAAUAAACUGCUACCAACCUCUUCUGCAUAGGCUGACUGUAGGGUUUGUGUGUUCAGCCACCUCCUGCCAGUUCAAGUGAUGUCUUAGUCCAUUUUUGCUGCUAUAACAAAAUACCACAGUUAUAAAGAACAGAAAUUUCUCACAGUUCUGAAGGAUGGGAAGUCUAAGAUCAAGGCUCCAGCAGGUUGUGGGUCUGGUAAGGGCCUUUUUGCUGUGUUCUCACGUGGCAGAAGGGUAGGGGAAAAGGGGGAUGGAGGAAUGCUGUGUCUUCAUAGUCUUCAUAUGGCAGAAGAACAAGGGAGGUGAACUCUCUCUCUGAAGCCUCUUUUAUAAGAGCAUUAACUCCUUCAUGCCCUCAUGACUUAAUCACUUCCCAAAGGCCUCACCUCUUAAUAACACCACAAUGGGGAUUAAGUUUCAAUGUUUGGGGGACACUCAGACAGCAGCAGGUGGGGGAAUCCCUCCUUCACCAAUGGGGUGAAUAGGUGACCAGAACCCCCGAAUUACUAAUAAAGAACACAGAAGUUCAAGCUCAUAGAAGUAGUGUAGGGCCUGGGUCUUAUGAUUCUGAUGUGACCACAGUUCAAGAACCACUGCAUUAUUCUACACUGCCUCUUAAAGAGUUGACGGAACUGUCCAAGGGCACCCAGGAAACCAGGGGCAUGGCUCUGCCUGGCACUCAGGCCUACUGAUUAUCAGCUCCCUGCUCCUCUCCAGUAUAAGAUGCCCCUAGAGCUCUCUAUAAGAGGAAAGGGCUGCAGAAUGACUGGUAAUGCCUCUGGAGGCAAAUUCUCAGAAUGAAAGGGGAGGCUUCCCUUAGAUCAGUGCUGUCCAACAGAAAUAUAAUGCAGGCAAGCUAUUCGUGUAAUUUAAAUUUUUCUCAUAGCUACACUGAAAAAGGUAAGAUGAAGCAAGUGAACUUAAUUUCAACAAUAUAUUUUCUUUAACCCAACAUAUCCAAAGUAUUAUCCCCUCAACUUGUAAUCAGUAUAAGAAUUAUUGAGGGAUUUUACUUUCUUUUUUUCAUACUAGAUCUUUGAAAUCUGUUGUGCCUUACCAUUAUAACAUAUCUCAAUUCAGACUAGUUACGUUUCAGGUGCUCAAUAAUCACAUGCGGCUAAUGGCUACACUAUUGGAUAGUGCAGGUUUAGACCUUUUUAUUAAGGCAAUAUAGACUAUAUAAUCAUCUCACAGGGACUUGCUAAGUUCAAAAGACAGCAAAUUAGUUGUAGGUUUCAACAAUCACUAUCAUAGAAACUAUGCACAUUUGUUUAAAUAUGUAACAGAAUUAAAGUAUCCAUAGAAAAAGUGGAAAGUGGGGAAGAAAAGAAUACUUAAAAAUAUACCUUUGAGGCUGGGCACGGUGGCUCACGCAUGUAAUCCCAGCACUUUGGGAGGCCCAGGCGGGUGGAUCACGAGGUCAGGAAUUCAAGACCAGCCUAGCCAAGAUGGUGAAACCCCGUCUCUAUUAAAAAUACAAAAAAAUUAGCUGGG
Molecule: long non-coding RNA, 7078 nt
Filed under: Homo sapiens (human)
Lineage: Eukaryota; Metazoa; Chordata; Mammalia; Primates; Hominidae
Description: HSALNT0260424
Source: RNAcentral